AUGGCCUGCCUGGGGCUUGGUGGCCGCUGGGACCCAGAGCUGGGGUUCGGGGCGGUGGUGCGGCUGCGAGGGCAUCGGCUAGAGGGGGCUUGCUCUGGGGGGCCCCCCCGGGAGCCUGGCCGGGGUGCUGGCUGCCGCCUGCCCCCAGGCCGGGAACAAUGCGGCCUCUAUCCCCCGAGCCGGCCAGCCAGGCGGGCCUCCCGCAACAUGGCGCCCGGGGCCGCGCCGCCUGUCCACGGGGAGGGCUGGCGCCCGGACCAGCCCGGCCCCCCGCGUCCUCCCCGGGCCGGCCUCGCAGUGGCCAGACGCCGCGGCCGCCCCCUUCCUCCCCCGCUGGGCCGGCCCCGGCCCCCUCCCGCCGGCGAUGGGUUUGGGGGUCCGGCCCACCCGCCGCUGCCACGUCUGCCACCCUCCCAGCACCCACGAGCAUCUUUCAAAAAUUCCCGGUGGGCGGGGCCGAGCCGCAGCGGCCGCCUCUGGCCCCCCCUCCCCGGCAGCCAGUGCCAGAGGAGAGCAGGAGACAAAAGUAGCAUUUUCCUCGCCCUCCUGGGCUGGCGGCGGGGCCUCCCCAGCGCCCUCGGCUCCUGGCCGGCCUGCCUCCGGGUUGCCGGGGUGGCCGAGGCCGCGGCCACGCCGGCCGGGACCGAGGGGACCGGUGGACGCCGGUGGCCACAGCCGAGGCGCCCGAGGGCUGGCGCCCGGGCCGGCCCUCCUCUGCCUGCCGCGGGGCCUGGCUGGGGCGACGGCCGCCGCCUUCACUGCCUUGCUGUGGACCAGCUCUCCGUCCUCCUGCGCCCGGCGUGGGGGUCCUGUUCGUGCAGGCCUGAGCAGCCGGCUGGAGCAGACACCACCAAAUACUGAACGGAGCUCGGCACACGCGAGAAGCGUCUGCGGCUGCUUUUGUUCUGAGAUCCGACAGCAGUCGCUCCUGGAGGAUUUGGGGCUGCAGAGACAGGCGCACGGAGCAGAGAUAAUUAAAACAUUUUCCUGAUGGUGACAGCCACAUUCUGCUGCUGGAAGCUGGAAGAUCAUUCCACCCAAAUAUUUAGCCAGCACCAGAUGAAACACGGGUGACAAAACGAAAGUAAUCGGGAAAAAACGGCAACAAAUUCUAGAGGCAGGAGAGUCCACGGUCCAGAGAGGGUGGCUGGGGGUUACUGGAGAGGAAGGUUGAUCAUUCUUAAAGAAUUUAUGCUUUUAAUAGCUGCCCAUUCCUCAUUUUAAAAAAAUUUUAUAUGAUAAAAUUAUAACUUUCUUGUAAUUAAAUGUAGAUGAAUAGGCCUUUAAUUCUAAAUCCUAGAGUGAUAGUCAAAUUUCCUGAGCAUUAACUCAUCUUCUUUUUGGACAAGGUAGCGCAAGUAGCAUAAAAUCAAUUAAUUUUCAUAAAUGAGCAUUUUCAUUCUAAAGUGGUAUUUUCCACCGAGAUUAUGUUCAUCUAAUGGUUUUAAUGUAUGUGAAUAACACAUUUUCCAGCCUACACCUUGUAUAGUUGGGAUAGUAAUAUGUGAUCAAUUAUCAUCUUCAUUUUUUAAUUUGGGGAAUCACACUGUACCUCUCCCAAGUCAGUAAAUUUCCACAGAAUCUUUUGUUGUUGUUGUUGUUUUAAUCAGGCGAAAAUAUCAGCAUUCUCCAUGGCACCCAGUACUUCUCAGCAGUAUUUUUUUUUUAAGAAAGUACCGCACAUAGCAGUUUUCACAUCAUCGCUUCUAUAUAAAUUCCACUAUAGACUGAAAUUAUACAUUCUCACAGCACAGAUGGGCUGGUCUGUCAUUAUGACUGCCGGGUCCUUGUUGGAACACACAGCAUAUUUCAAUUGUAGAGUCGACAAUUUCGAAGAACUGAGGUCAAAAUAAACAAGUUGCCUUUGUACA
RNAcentral lists this long non-coding RNA (1871 nucleotides) under Bos indicus x Bos taurus (hybrid cattle). RNAcentral describes it as "lncRNA (ENSBIXG00000007371.1)". The record is from RNAcentral. Lineage: Eukaryota; Metazoa; Chordata; Mammalia; Artiodactyla; Bovidae.